This 253-nucleotide ribosomal RNA is filed under the name uncultured bacterium. RNAcentral describes it as "partial 16S ribosomal RNA". It matches the Rfam family "Bacterial small subunit ribosomal RNA", at positions 524 to 776 of the family's 1533-position model. The record is from RNAcentral.
GACAGAGGUCCCGAGCGUUAGGCGGAAUCACUGGGCUUAAAGCGUGUGUAGGCGGAUUUGUAAGUACCUUGUGAAAUCCCACGGCUCAACCGUGGAACUGCUUGGUAUACUGCUUAUCUUGAGCCACCUAGGGGCAACCGGAACAAGCGGUGGAGCGGUGAAAUGCGUAGAUAUCGCUAGGAACUCCGGUGGCGAAGGCGAGGUGCUGGACCCUUUCUGACGCUGAGGCGCGAAAGCCAGGGGAGCAAACGGG